GCCCCGGUAGCUCAGCUGGAAGAAUUUAUCCAAUAGCGAUUGCCUUGUAAGCAGUAGGUCGCGGGAUCGAGACCCGCCCGGGGCU
RNAcentral lists this transfer RNA (85 nucleotides) under archaeon. RNAcentral's name for it is "tRNA-Thr". It matches the Rfam family "tRNA". From Rfam's summary of the family: Transfer RNA (tRNA) molecules are approximately 80 nucleotides in length. Their secondary structure includes four short double-helical elements and three loops (D, anti-codon, and T loops). Further hydrogen bonds mediate the characteristic L-shaped molecular structure. tRNAs have two regions of fundamental functional importance: the anti-codon, which is responsible for specific mRNA codon recognition, and the 3' end, to which the tRNAs corresponding amino acid is attached (by aminoacyl-tRNA synthetases). tRNAs cope with the degeneracy of the genetic code in two manners: having more than one tRNA (with a specific anti-codon) for a particular amino acid; and 'wobble' base-pairing, i.e. permitting non-standard base-pairing at the 3rd anti-codon position. The record is from RNAcentral. RNAcentral also lists the same sequence under 1 other name.